Molecule: ribosomal RNA, 754 nt
Filed under: Salmonella enterica subsp. arizonae serovar 50:r:z
Lineage: Bacteria; Pseudomonadati; Pseudomonadota; Gammaproteobacteria; Enterobacterales; Enterobacteriaceae
Also listed under: 1 other name
Description: bacterial LSU rRNA
Rfam family: Bacterial large subunit ribosomal RNA
Source: RNAcentral
GGGUUGUGAGGUUAAGCGACCAAGCGUACACGGUGGAUGCCCUGGCAGUCAGAGGCGAUGAAGGACGUGCUAAUCUGCGAAAAGCGCCGGUAAGGUGAUAUGAACCGUUAUAACCGGCGAUGUCCGAAUGGGGAAACCCAGUGUGACUCGUCACACUAUCAUUAACUGAAUCCAUAGGUUAAUGAGGCGAACCGGGGGAACUGAAACAUCUAAGUACCCCGAGGAAAAGAAAUCAACCGAGAUUCCCCCAGUAGCGGCGAGCGAACGGGGAGGAGCCCAGAGCCUGAAUCAGCAUGUGUGUUAGUGGAAGCGUCUGGAAAGGCGCGCGAUACAGGGUGACAGCCCCGUACACAAAAGCGCAUAUGCUGUGAGCUCGAUGAGUAGGGCGGGACACGUGGUAUCCUGUCUGAAUAUGGGGGGACCAUCCUCCAAGGCUAAAUACUCCUGACUGACCGAUAGUGAACCAGUACCGUGAGGGAAAGGCGAAAAGAACCCCGGCGAGGGGAGUGAAACAGAACCUGAAACCGUGUACGUACAAGCAGUGGGAGCCCCACCACUAAGCCAGUGGUGAACUCCACAUACGCAUCCUUUGCGGAAGAUGCGGUUAACGGAGCGAAAGCGACGUUCAACCUCAGAAGAAGCAGAGGGGGCUUAGUGGUGGGGUGACUGCGUACCUUUUGUAUAAUGGGUCAGCGACUUAUAUUCUGUAGCAAGGUUAACCGCAUAGGGGAGCCGAAGGGAAACCGAGUCUUAA